RNAcentral lists this ribosomal RNA (431 nucleotides) under uncultured bacterium. RNAcentral describes it as "bacterial SSU rRNA". It matches the Rfam family "Bacterial small subunit ribosomal RNA", at positions 209 to 632 of the family's 1533-position model. The record is from RNAcentral.
GACCUUAUGCUUUUGGAGCGGCCGAUGUCUGAUUAGCUAGUUGGUAAGGUAAUGGCUUACCAAGGCAACGAUCAGUAGUUGGUCUGAGAGGACGACCAGCCACACUGGGACUGAGACACGGCCCAGACUCCUACGGGAGGCAGCAGUGGGGAAUUUUGGACAAUGGGCGCAAGCCUGAUCCAGCAAUGCCGCGUGAGUGAAGAAGGCCUUCGGGUUGUAAAGCUCUUUCAGUUGAGAAGAAAAGAUUGUAACUAAUAAUUGCAAUCCAUGACGGUAUCGACAGAAGAAGCACCGGCUAACUACGUGCCAGCAGCCGCGGUAAUACGUAGGGUGCGAGCGUUAAUCGGAAUUACUGGGCGUAAAGGGUGCGCAGGCGGUUCUGUAAGUCAGAUGUGAAAUCCCCGGGCUUAACCUGGGAACUGCGUUUGAAA